Long non-coding RNA from Monopterus albus (swamp eel), 577 nucleotides. RefSeq lists it as uncharacterized. The record is from RefSeq and is a predicted model, not a curated record. NCBI's taxonomy places the organism in Eukaryota, Metazoa, Chordata, Actinopteri, Synbranchiformes, Synbranchidae. The transcript is spliced from 2 exons.
GUGAACAAAAUCUAAGCAAACGUGCAUGUUUGCUUAUCAUUACCCAUCAUCGUGCCCCGGCAGAAUCGAGUCGCAGAUAAAGGUCACAGCUGUGGCUCAGGAGGUAGAGCGGUUGUCCCCUAACCGGCAGGUGGGCAGUAUGGUUCUCGUUCUCCGUGGUCCGUGUGUCCUUGGGCAAGACACUGAACCCCAAGUUGCCCCCGAUAGCCAGCAGCUUGUAGGGACAACGCCGCUGUCGUCGUGUGUAUGUGUGUGAGUUGGCACCGCAGAUGGCUACCUCGGUUCUGUACCAGAGGCAAAUUGCUUGUGUGUGUGUGUGUAUGUGUGUAACUUGUCCAAUAAAAGUGAGUAAAUUAAAAUUAACUUUGUUCACUUUGUGAAGAGUACAAUCUUCAUUAUUUUCCUGGAGUGUUGACAGAAGAAUAUAUUCAGUCUGUGAAACGUGAAUCUCUUGAACACUGGACAGAUGUGCAUUUGUGUCAAGAUUUGUCCUUUUGCCAAAUAGUCCGGUGUACUGUAUAGUUACUGUGGUGGAGCCACAACAAACUACUUCUACUGCCAGCAAAAAAAAAAAACA